Passer domesticus (house sparrow) is the source of this 1154-nucleotide long non-coding RNA. RefSeq lists it as uncharacterized. The record is from RefSeq and is a predicted model, not a curated record. Lineage: Eukaryota; Metazoa; Chordata; Aves; Passeriformes; Passeridae. The transcript is spliced from 3 exons.
AUCAGGGGAGGCGAAUGCUCCCUGGCUCAAAGAGCCCCCUUAGGAAGACCAGUCCUCCAGGCAGUAAGAUCAGCACAGCUUUGUGCUGCAGCCCUGACAGUGUGCUUGGCUCUCAUAUCAGAAACAGCCAGCUUGACUUGAUUUCCCUAACUUGCUCACAGGUCUCUCUGUUGCUGCUUUGCAAGGCUGCUGGAGCCUGCUGCAAGUUUUCAGCAGCCUGGAAGCUGCUCGGAGCUUUUUAUUUCAUUCCAUAUUUCUCUCAAGCACUUGUCUUCAAAGGGAACCUCAAUUACUUCAAAUCAGACUGACAGCUUGCAUGAAACACAUCUUGUCUACCUUUCUUGCAACUGCCUGUGGCUCAGCAGUGAGCCAGGGAGGACAUUGAUCUGUGACUAACAUGGUGAGCAUGUUGACAUUCUGUGUGACAAGUUAUGCCAACACCAGAGAGAGCUCAUAGGACUAAGCCCCUUAUUAACACAGAACUGACUGCACAACGCAGCACAAGGAAGGGAUGACCCUGGCAGUGCCUCAUCAGGGAAGAAAAGCUCAUAAGAAUGCCCAUGGGAGAUACCUUAUUGCCUCUGUGCACAUCUGGUGAUUUAUUUCCUGUACAGCUCCUUCAGAGGUGUUGCUGGGCUCCCCCUGCACUCGGGUGCUGCUCAGCCAGAAAAGCAUGGCCUCACAGAGCAAGGAUAUGAGGUGCCUGGGCUAAAGCCUCACAGGUGCCAGCAGACAGAUGUGACCAAAGAUUAGACAAGACAGAAGAGGCCCAGGCUCAGGGACUCUCUACAGUCAUACCAUAAGAGCAGAAGCAAUCCAUGAAGAAGGAAGGUCACUUUACUUAUGAUAUAAAUGAGGCGAACUCAACCCACCAUUUGGUGGGUGAAAUUUUUAAAUGAUGCAUUUUGGGAAUCCAACACAAAUAUGACAUCAGUGGUUGAAGACUGACUUAGUUACCAUGUUUUCUGCUGGGCACCACAUCUCAGGAAACACUGCAGAGGACCCAAAGCAAUGAUCUGAGUCAAUGCAAUGACAAUGAUCACAGACUUGGCAAUUGUGACUGAAAGUUGCAAGUGGAAGAAUGAGUACAGGUAAUCUGGAGAAGAAAGACUAUUGUACAUAUGAUAGUAGUUUUAAAUAUGUGGAAAAAAUUA